GGGUGCUCGAGUGGCGAGCGGGUGAGUAACACGUGAGUAACCUGCCCUUGACUUUGGGAUAACUUCAGGAAACUGGGGCUAAUACCGGAUAGGAGCUCCUGCUGCAUGGUGGGGGUUGGAAAGUUUCGGCGGUUGGGGAUGGACUCGCGGCUUAUCAGCUUGUUGGUGGGGUAGUGGCUUACCAAGGCUUUGACGGGUAGCCGGCCUGAGAGGGUGACCGGCCACAUUGGGACUGGGAUACGGCCCAG
This 248-nucleotide ribosomal RNA is filed under the name uncultured Actinomycetales bacterium. Its description in RNAcentral is "partial 16S ribosomal RNA". It matches the Rfam family "Bacterial small subunit ribosomal RNA", at positions 85 to 334 of the family's 1533-position model. Lineage: Bacteria; Bacillati; Actinomycetota; Actinomycetes; Actinomycetales. The record is from RNAcentral.